This 1950-nucleotide ribosomal RNA is filed under the name human gut metagenome. RNAcentral describes it as "bacterial LSU rRNA". It matches the Rfam family "Bacterial large subunit ribosomal RNA", at positions 1 to 1983 of the family's 2925-position model. The record is from RNAcentral.
GAAAGUAAACAAGGGCGCAUGGAGGAUGCCUAGGCUCUCGGAGGCGAAGAAGGACGUGAUAAGCUGCGAAAAGUUACGGUAAGGCGCAAAUAGCCCUAGACCCGUAAAUAUCCGAAUGGGGCAACCCGGCCAGCAAUGGUCAUACCGUCAAGCGGUAAGCCAACGCGGGGAACUGAAACAUCUAAGUACCCGCAGGAAAAGAAAAUAACAAUGAUUCCGCCAGUAGUGGCGAGCGAACGCGGAACAGCCCAAACCACUCGUGUUACGGCACGAGUGGGGUAGAAGGAUCCACGCUACGGCAAGAAAUAAGUUAGCAGAAUACGAUGGAAAUCGUAGCCAAAGACGGUGACAGCCCAGUACGCGAAAACCGACAGAAGCCCAGUGGACACCUGAGUAACCCAGGACACGAGAAAUCCGGGGCGAAUCAGCGGGGCCCAUCCCGUAAGGCUAAAUACUCCCGAGAGACCGAUAGCGAACCAGUACUGUGAAGGAAAGGUGAAAAGAACCUCGAACAGAGGAGUGAAACAGACCCUGAAACCAUGCGCCUACAAGCGGUCGGAGCAUGUUAAAAUGUGACGGCGUGCCUUUUGCAUAAUGAACCUACGAGUUACUCUCGCUGGCAAGGUUAAGCGAUUCAGUCGCGCAGCCGAAGCGAAAGCAAGUCCGAACAAGGCGUACAGUCAGCGGGAGUAGACGCGAAACCAAGUGAUCUACCCUUGGUCAGGUUGAAGGUUGGGUAACACCAACUGGAGGACCGCACCGAUAAGCGUUGAAAAGCUUACGGAUGAACUGAGGGUAGGAGUGAAAGGCCAAUCAAACUUGGAGAUAGCUCGUACUCCCCGAAAUGCAUUUAGGUGCAGCCUCGAAGCAGAGUGAUAGAGGUAGAGCGACUGAUAAGAUGCGAGGGCUUCACCGCCUAUCAAGUCUUGACAAACUCCGAAUACUAUCACUUGAUCUUCGGGAGUGAGGGCAUGGGUGCUAAGGUCCAUGUCCGAAAGAGGAACAACUCAGACCACCAGCUAAGGUCCCGAAAUAAGGGCUAAGUUGAAUAAACGAAGUAAAACUGCAAAGACAGCUAGGAUGUUGGCUUGGAAGCAGCCAUUCAUUUAAAGAGUGCGUAACAGCUCACUAGUCGAGGAGUUUUGCAUGGAUAAUAAUCGGGCAUAAGCCCUUUACCGAAGCUGUGGAUGUCGUAAGACAUGGUAGGGGAGCAUUCCGGCGGCGACGAAGGCCGUCCUCGAGGACGACUGGAGCUUUCGGAAAAGCAAAUGUAGGUAUAAGUAACGAUAAAGGGGGCGUGAAACCCCCUCGCCAUAAGACUAAGGAUUCCUGAUCAACGCUAAUCGGAUCAGGGUAAGUCGGGCCCUAAGGCGCAGCCGAACGGCGUAGCCGAUGGAAGAAACGGUAAAGAUUCCGUUACUGGAUAUAGGAGCGAUGUGGAGACGGAGAAGUGACACACCCGCCUGCCGACGGAAGCGCAGGUUAAAGGAAGUAGGUAAACGCCGGGUAGGCAAAUCCGCCUGGCGUGCCGAAGCUGACAGUAUCGAGAGCCCCCGGGCAAUCGAAUAGCGGUGGUAAUCAGGCUCCCAAGAAAAUCCGCUAAGCAUAUUCUAUAUCCACCCGUACCCCAAACGGACACACGUAGUCGGGUAGAAUAUACCAAGGCGCUCGAAAGACUCACGGUUAAGGAACUAGGCAAAUUGACCCUGUAACCUCGGGAAAAAGGGUCCCCAGUAAGAUGGGGCGCAGAGAAUAGGUCCAGGCAACUGUUUAACAAAAACACAGGGCUGUGCAAAAUUUCAAGAUGAAGUAUACAGCCUGACACCUGCCCGGUGCCGGAAGGUUAAGAGGAGAGCUUAUCGCAAGAGAAGGCUUGAAUUGAAGCCCCGGUAAACGGCGGCCGUAACUAUAACGGUCCUAAGGUAGCGAAAUUCCUUGUCGGGUAAGUUC